Molecule: small nuclear RNA, 106 nt
Filed under: Carlito syrichta (Philippine tarsier)
Lineage: Eukaryota; Metazoa; Chordata; Mammalia; Primates; Tarsiidae
Source: RNAcentral
GUGCUCACUUUUGCAGGACCUAUACUUAAUUUGGGACACUAUUGAGAUUAUCAUGUCUUGUGCUCAAGAAUGACAUGCAAAUUUGUGACAACACUUGCAUAUUUUU